GACGAACGCUGGCGGCGUGCUUAACACAUGCAAGUCGAACGGAAAGGCCCUGCUCUUGCGGCGUGCACGAGUGGCGAACGGGUGAGUGACACGUGAGUAAACUGUCCUUGACUUUGGGAUAACUUCAGGAAACUGGGGCUAAUACCGGAUAGGAGCUACUGCUGCAUGGUGGGGGAUGGAAAGUUUCGGCGGUUGUGGCUGGACUGGCGGCUUAUCAGCUUGUUGGUGGGGUAGUGGCUUACCAAGGCUUUGAAGGGUAGCCGGCCUGAGAGGGUGACCGGCCUCCAUGCUCCUGCGGGACGGCGCAGUCGCGUACGGUACGCAGCAGGCGGGAAUAUUGCAGAGUGGGCGGACGUGAGUGGUAGCAACCCUCCGAUCGUGAAGCUCUGCUACUAGUUGUAAACCAAUUUCUACUUAGACGAAGCCGUAUUGACGGUAACUGGUCAAAAAGCACCGGCUAACUACGUG
Molecule: ribosomal RNA, 468 nt
Filed under: uncultured bacterium
Lineage: Bacteria
Description: partial 16S ribosomal RNA
Rfam family: Bacterial small subunit ribosomal RNA
Source: RNAcentral